UUACAGCAAAUUUCGAGUCACGUUGUU
Molecule: non-coding RNA, 27 nt
Filed under: Bombyx mori (domestic silkworm)
Lineage: Eukaryota; Metazoa; Arthropoda; Insecta; Lepidoptera; Bombycidae
Source: RNAcentral